UCGGGAUAACAACCUGGAAACAGAUGCUAAUACCGGAUAACAACAGAUGAUGCCUAUCAACUGUUUAAAAGAUGGUUCUGCUAUCACUCUUGGAUGGACCUGCGGUGCAUUAGCUAGUUGGUAGGGUAACGGCCUACCAAGGCGAUGAUGCAUAGCCGAGUUGAGAGACUGAUCGGCCACAUUGGGACUGAGACACGGCCCAAACUCCUACGGGAGGCAGCAGUA
RNAcentral lists this ribosomal RNA (225 nucleotides) under uncultured Lactobacillus sp. Its description in RNAcentral is "partial 16S ribosomal RNA". It matches the Rfam family "Bacterial small subunit ribosomal RNA", at positions 138 to 355 of the family's 1533-position model. Lineage: Bacteria; Bacillati; Bacillota; Bacilli; Lactobacillales; Lactobacillaceae. The record is from RNAcentral.